UCCUGCGCAGUGUAUCGGCGUGGAUCAUUUAGAUUUAGAUAAACAUAACCAUAAGCGAUAAACGUAUUCGAGAUUGCGACCGGAAUGUAAUUCAUGAUGUGUAUAAAUUCAAAUACAAAAUGCUACAAAGAGGACGUUAUGGAUGCAAAUUAGAAAUAAACAUCAUAGCACUACUCGAAAAAUUUGUAUGUUAGUUUUAAAACUUCCUGGAGGAAAUGUGUUCUGGAUGACCAACAACGUUAACUGUUUGGAUAUGGAUGUUCUUUUUGUAUAGUGCAGUGAGGUAUACCAACGUACGGGUCCCUCGUAAUUGUAAACUUUCGUUGUACAUUAGUUUUCGUAUUGGGUAUUCUAAUUACAGUUCCACCUAAGUCCACCGAUUUUUAUGUUCCACAAUUCGUGCUUACGACAAGCACCACUAAUGCCAACUAUAAGAGCAACCUGCAAAUGUAAAAUAAAUAUGAUGUAACGAGUAACGAUUUGAACGUGUAAUGUUAUAGUAGAUAUGAACUGUCGGGGGUGCUUUUUGAAUAAACAUUUUUACUUUGCUCGUUGAUAGAAUUUUUGACUUUUUAGGGAAAUAUCCGCUGGAUUGCAUUUUUAACAAGGCCUGCAACUUAGCAUAGCUGCUUAUAUCUACAUUAUUGUUCAAAAGUAUCGUAGAGCACAGCAUGGAAUAC
Long non-coding RNA from Photinus pyralis (common eastern firefly), 680 nucleotides. RefSeq lists it as uncharacterized. The record is from RefSeq and is a predicted model, not a curated record. Lineage: Eukaryota; Metazoa; Arthropoda; Insecta; Coleoptera; Lampyridae. The transcript has 3 exons.